CCUACGGGCGGCAGCAGUGGGGAAUAUUGCACAAUGGGCGCAAGCCUGAUGCAGCCAUGCCGCGUGUAUGAAGAAGGCCUUCGGGUUGUAAAGUACUUUCAGCGGGGAGGAAGGCGAUAAGGUUAAUAACCUUGUUGAUUGACAUUACCCGCAGAAGAAGCACCGGCUAACUCCGUGCCAGCAGCCGCGGUAAUACGGAGGGUGCAAGCGUUAAUCGGAAAUACUGGGCGUAAAGCGCACGCAGGCGGUCUGUCAAGUCGGAUGUGAAAUCCCCGGGCUCAACCUGGGAACUGCAUUCGAAACUGGCAGGCUAGAGUCUUGUAGAAGGGGGUAGAAUUCCAGGUGUAGCGGUGAAAUGCGUGGAGAUCUGGAGGAAUACCGGUGGCGAAGGCGGCCCCCUGGACAAAGACUGACGCUCAGGUGCGAAAGCGUGGGGAGCAAACAGGAUUAGAUACCCGUGUAGUC
RNAcentral lists this ribosomal RNA (465 nucleotides) under uncultured bacterium. RNAcentral describes it as "bacterial SSU rRNA". It matches the Rfam family "Bacterial small subunit ribosomal RNA", at positions 338 to 795 of the family's 1533-position model. The record is from RNAcentral.